UACGGGGGGGGCAAGCGUUGUUCGGAAUUAUUGGGCGUAAAGAGCUCGUAGGUGGCCUGUCGCGUCGGCUGUGAAAACUCGGGGCUCAACUCCGAGCUUGCAGUCGAUACGGGCAGGCUAGAGUUCGGCAGGGGAGACUGGAAUUCCUGGUGUAGCGGUGAAAUGCGCAGAUAUCAGGAGGAACACCGGUGGCGAAGGCGGGUCUCUGGGCCGAUACUGACACUGAGGAGCGAAAGCGUGGGGAGCGAACAGG
Molecule: ribosomal RNA, 253 nt
Filed under: uncultured bacterium
Lineage: Bacteria
Description: partial 16S ribosomal RNA
Rfam family: Bacterial small subunit ribosomal RNA
Source: RNAcentral